GACAGAGGGUGCAAACGUUGUUCGGAAUUACUGGGCGUAAAGCGCGUGUAGGCUGCUCGGAAAGUCGGAUGUGAAAGCCCUGGGCUCAACCUAGGAAGUGCAUUCGAAACUUCCGAGCUGGAGUGCUGGAGAGGAAGGCGGAAUUCUCGGUGUAGAGGUGAAAUUCGUAGAUAUCGAGAGGAACACCGGUGGCGAAGGCGGCCUUCUGGACAGUGACUGACGCUGAGGUGCGAAAGCGUGGGGAGCAAACAGG
This 253-nucleotide ribosomal RNA is filed under the name uncultured bacterium. RNAcentral's name for it is "partial 16S ribosomal RNA". It matches the Rfam family "Bacterial small subunit ribosomal RNA", at positions 524 to 776 of the family's 1533-position model. The record is from RNAcentral.